AAGGAAACGACAGGGUACUCAAAAGUCUGAUCGGUGUUAUAUCUGUGGCAACCGAGGCCACUAUGCGAAGAAUUAUCCCAAGAAUCCAAAUAAGGCAGUAAAACUCAUUCAGCACAUUCAGCAAACUUAUCAUCUAUCUCUGAAAUUCGAUGAUGUUGAAUCCCUAUUCUCAGAACAGGAUGGGCCAGAUGAAGAGACUGUGUUUGCUCUUGGAGCAGACGAUACUAACUUUGACCAAUCCCAAUUUCCAUCCUCAAAAGACUCAGAGUCUGAUUCUGAUUCUGAGGCCCAUUACCCUAUUUACCUAGCCCAAAAU
RNAcentral lists this unclassified non-coding RNA (316 nucleotides) under Hevea brasiliensis (rubber tree). The record is from RNAcentral. Lineage: Eukaryota; Viridiplantae; Streptophyta; Magnoliopsida; Malpighiales; Euphorbiaceae.